This is a long non-coding RNA of Sitodiplosis mosellana (orange wheat blossom midge), 1518 nucleotides long. RefSeq lists it as uncharacterized. The transcript is spliced from 6 exons. The record is from RefSeq and is a predicted model, not a curated record. NCBI's taxonomy places the organism in Eukaryota, Metazoa, Arthropoda, Insecta, Diptera, Cecidomyiidae.
AUUAUCGCAUCGUUGUUGCUUAGUAGCAGCGUUUUCCAUCUUCCGGAAUGCAUUUCACUUGAGUUUGGUUCGUAUUGUUUCAUAAUUUGUUAUUUAUUGUACUCUGAAAUGAAGCUCAAAUUAUUGAAGUAAUCAUAUUUUCGACAGCGAGUUCUUGGAUCGACAGCGAGUGUAUUAAAUGAAGCUUCAGCUAAUCUCCAGCAAUCUGUUUGCAAUUAUUUUAUUAAUUGAAAAAAGUAAACAUUUGAGACAAGUGUCGAUAAGAGUUUGUGAGAUGUUUUUCAUGGCAUGAUAGUUGACUAUCGAUUCCGUUGUAGCGACUCGUAUUUGAUAUGGUCAUUGUUAUAUGGAAAAAGCCUCCUUUCUUUGAAGAAUUUCAGCGAAAUUUGGAAUUGUCUGGAGAUUUAUCAUCAUCGUUGUUGCGUUGAGUGUGUUUAUCAUGAUUUAAACUAUCAAGUCUUUAAUCUUAUUGGUGUUUCCGGCGAAAAAAAACAAACAACCCCGAAAAUCGUUCAUUGCAUUUAAUCUUUGAACAGCUUGGUCUUUGAUUGAUGUCUUCGAAUGGGGCUCGGGAUACACAGAGAAAUUCGGGCUGUAUUACGUCAAUAUGUCAUCUCCACGUCGAGAACGAAUCCCCAAGAAGUCGACACAAUUUUUGACGGCAUCAUUGACGACAUCACGCCGCAUUCCAAAAGUCUACUGAUUGCACUUUUGUUUGUUGUUGUCAAAUAUAUGAUAACGAAAUGAAUUUAAAUUGGGACCAUUUGAAAUAAUCUUAUUUGUUGGUUACUUUAAUCGAUUUGAUGUAUCACGAAUCAAACUCUUAUCAGAAUUUCUCGAUUGAAAUGUAUGAAUCGUUCGAAAAUUAAACACAAAGAUAUUCCUCACUCGAAAAGAUUAAUUCAUAGAAUUGUUCCGCUAAUAAUGAAAAGAACUUGGUUAGAUUAAAACUAAACCUAAAUUAAAUUGACACAUUUCAAACACAAGUGUUUUUUAUUUACAAAUUCGAAGGCAGUUCGUUCUGUUGCCAGCUGAUAAAACGUCAUUUCUAACGAAAGAUGUUUCAUCAACAGUUUGUCAUCAGCUGUCAACGAGAAUAGACGUAGAAAGUAAAUAUGUUCUUGCGUCGAUUAUUUUCUAUUUUCUCGAUCUUUAUAGUAGGAGCAUCAGCUGUAAAUUCAUCAACAAAUGAUUCCAAUCUAGUUAUUUCCGGAAGGGUUUCUAUUUGGUGCCGCAACAGCUGCCUAUCGAAUCGAAGGAGGUUGGAAUUCGGAUGGCAAAGGACUAAGUACUUGGGAUAAAUUCCUACAUUUGCAUCCGGACAAAAUAGAUGACCAUCAGAAUGGAGACGUUGCCGCCAAUUCUUAUGAGUAUUACUUAGACGAUAUUGAAGCAGCAAAAAGUUGAAAUUUGGAUUUCUAUCGUUUUUCCAUUGCGUGGUCUCGUGUGUUGCCAACUGGUGAUAUAACACAAGUGAAUGAAAAAGGCAUCGAAUACUACAACAAAUUGAUCAAUAAA